AUUGAACGCUGGCGGCAUGCUUUACACAUGCAAGUCGAACGGUAACAGGCCCCAAGGUGCUGACGAGUGGCGAACAGGUGAGUAAUGCAUCGGAACGUGCCCAGUCGUGGGGGAUAACUACUCGAAAGAGUAGCUAAUACCGCAUACGAUCUAUGGAUGAAAGCGGGGGACCGUAAGGCCUCGCGCGAUUGGAGCGGCCGAUGUCAGAUUAGGUAGUUGGUGGGGUAAAGGCUCACCAAGCCAACGAUCUGUAGCUGGUCUGAGAGGACGACCAGCCACACUGGGACGGAGACACGGCCCAGACUCCUACGGGAGGCAGCAGUGGGGAAUUUUGGACAAUGGGCGCAAGCCUGAUCCAGCAAUGCCGCGUGCAGGAAGAAGGCCUUCGGGUUGUAAACUGCUUUUGUACGGAACGAAACGGCUCUGGUUAAUACCCGGGGCUAAUGACGGUACCGUAAGAAUAAGCACCGGCUAACUACGUG
This 482-nucleotide ribosomal RNA is filed under the name uncultured bacterium. RNAcentral describes it as "partial 16S ribosomal RNA". It matches the Rfam family "Bacterial small subunit ribosomal RNA", at positions 30 to 507 of the family's 1533-position model. The record is from RNAcentral.